Molecule: non-coding RNA, 75 nt
Organism: Podarcis lilfordi (Lilford's wall lizard)
Lineage: Eukaryota; Metazoa; Chordata; Lepidosauria; Squamata; Lacertidae
Source: the annotation of a GenBank genome assembly
GGGAUAGUUCAGUUGGGACCCGAACAUGAGACUUUUAAUCUCAUGGUCGUGGGUUUGAGCCCUACACUGGGUGCA